RNAcentral lists this ribosomal RNA (552 nucleotides) under Syngnathus leptorhynchus (bay pipefish). RNAcentral's name for it is "partial 16S ribosomal RNA". It matches the Rfam family "Bacterial large subunit ribosomal RNA", at positions 1851 to 2607 of the family's 2925-position model. Lineage: Eukaryota; Metazoa; Chordata; Actinopteri; Syngnathiformes; Syngnathidae. The record is from RNAcentral.
GGUCCCGCCUGCCCUGUGACUAUAUGUUUAACGGCCGCGGUAUUUUGACCGUGCAAAGGUAGCGCAAUCACUUGUCUUUUAAAUAAAGACCUGUAUGAAUGGCAUGACGAGGGCUUAACUGUCUCCUUCUCCCGGUCAAUGAAAUUGAUCUCCCCGUGCAGAAGCGGGGAUAUUAUUAUAAGACGAGAAGACCCUGUGGAGCUUUAAAUGAUGAGAGAUUUUAUGCAACAAACCUAAAAAGGUAUAAGCGAAUUUAUACUCCCUCUAAUAUUUUUGGUUGGGGCGACCGCGGAGUAAAAAGAAACCUCCGUGAGGAAUGAGGUAAUUAACCUUAAAUCCCAGAACGACAAUUCAAAGAAACAAAAUUUUUGACCUAAAGAUCCGGCAAAGCCGAUCAACGAACCUAGUUACCCCAGGGAUAACAGCGCAAUCCCCUUCAAGAGUCCCUAUCGACAAGGGGGUUUACGACCUCGAUGUUGGAUCAGGAUAUCCUAAUGGUGUAGCCGCUAUUAAGGGUUCGUUUGUUCAACGAUUAAAAUCCUACGUGAUCUG